This 433-nucleotide ribosomal RNA is filed under the name uncultured bacterium. RNAcentral's name for it is "partial 16S ribosomal RNA". It matches the Rfam family "Bacterial small subunit ribosomal RNA", at positions 29 to 507 of the family's 1533-position model. The record is from RNAcentral.
AGCGAACGCUGGCGGCAGGCUUAACACAUGCAAGUCGAGCGGGCCCUUCGGGGUCAGCGGCAGACGGGUGAGUAACACGUGGGAACGUACCCUUUGGUUCGGAAUAACGCUGGGAAACUAGCGCUAAUACCGGAUACGCCCUUUUGGGGAAAGGCUUGCUGCCGAAGGAUCGGCCCGCGCCUGAUUAGCUAGUUGGUGGGGUAAUGGCCUACCAAGGCGACGAUCAGUAGCUGGUCUGAGAGGAUGAUCAGCCACACUGGGACUGAGACACGGCCCAGACUCCUACGGGAGGCAGCAGUGGGGAAUAUUGGACAAUGGGCGCAAGCCUGAUCCAGCCAUGCCGCGUGAGUGAUGAAGGCCUUAGGGUUGUAAAGCUCUUUUGUCCGGGACGAUAAUGACGGUACCGGAAGAAUAAGCCCCGGCUAACUUCGUG